UUUCCGUAGGUGAACCUGCGGAAGGAUCAUUAUUGAUUAACGUAGGUGGGAGGGCUUUAGUUGAUCCGAACGUUGUGUGACGCGCGAGUGCCCUCCUACAUGUCCAUCUCACCCCUUUAACCUCUAUCUCAACUGUCUCCCUGUGACUUAUUCGGAGGGGGCCUUACGAUUUCACACAACCUUAAUGGACAUCUUAGCUUUUGUUUUUUGUUUUUGCGAUGACGCAAUCAAUACAACUUGCAACAACUGAACUCUUGCCUCUAGCACCGAUGAAGAACC
RNAcentral lists this unclassified non-coding RNA (279 nucleotides) under plant metagenome. RNAcentral's name for it is "partial contains small subunit ribosomal RNA, internal transcribed spacer 1, and 5.8S ribosomal RNA". The record is from RNAcentral.